UACGUAGGGGGCAAGCGUUGUCCGGAAUCAUUGGGCGUAAAGCGCGUGUAGGCGGCUCGAUAAGUCUGCUGUGAAAGUUCAGGGCUCAACCCUGAAAUGCCGGUGGAAACUGUCGAGCUAGAGUCCGGAAGAGGUGAGUGGAAUUCCUGGUGUAGCGGUGAAAUGCGCAGAUAUCCGGAAGAACACCGGUGGCGAAGGCGGCCUGCUGGGCAGUAGCUGACGCUGAGGCGCGACAGCGUGGGGAGCAAACAGG
RNAcentral lists this ribosomal RNA (253 nucleotides) under uncultured bacterium. RNAcentral describes it as "partial 16S ribosomal RNA". It matches the Rfam family "Bacterial small subunit ribosomal RNA", at positions 524 to 776 of the family's 1533-position model. The record is from RNAcentral.